CCUACGGGAGGCAGCAGUAGGGAAUCUUGCGCAAUGGGCGAAAGCCUGACGCAGCCAUGCCGCGUGAAUGAUGAAGGUCUUAGGAUUGUAAAAUUCUUUCAGCGGGGAAGAUAAUGACGGUACCCGCAGAGGAAGCUCCGGCUAACUUCGUGCCAGCAGCCGCGGUAAUACGAAGGGGGCUAGCGUUGCUCGGAAUUACUGGGCGUAAAGGGCGCGUAGGCGGGUGUUUAAGUCAGGGGUCAAAUCCCAGAGCUCAACUCUGGAACUGCCUUUGAUACUGGACACCUAGAGUACGGGAGAGGUGUGUGGAACUCCGAGUGUAGAGGUGAAAUUCGUAGAUAUUCGGAAGAACACCAGUGGCGAAGGCGACACACUGGCCCGUUACUGAUGCUGAUGCGCGAAAGCGUAGGGAGCAAACAGGAUUAGAUACCCUGGUAGUCCACGCCGUAAACGAUGAGUGCUAGUUGUCGGCAUGCAUGCAUGUCGGUGACGCAGCUAACGCAUUAAGCACUCCGCCUGGGGAGUACGGUCGCAAGAUUAAAACUCAAAGGAAUUGACGG
RNAcentral lists this ribosomal RNA (560 nucleotides) under uncultured bacterium. Its description in RNAcentral is "bacterial SSU rRNA". It matches the Rfam family "Bacterial small subunit ribosomal RNA", at positions 338 to 916 of the family's 1533-position model. The record is from RNAcentral.